This is a long non-coding RNA of Fukomys damarensis (Damara mole-rat), 1571 nucleotides long. The record is from Ensembl. NCBI's taxonomy places the organism in Eukaryota, Metazoa, Chordata, Mammalia, Rodentia, Bathyergidae.
GUGAUAUGUUUAUAAUGGUCAUCUUCAAAAUAUAAUAUUUUCUGUGGAAAAACAAGGAGUUAUUUAAAAAGAUCCUUUUGGUACCAAGCUACACUGUAAGACAUAAGGUUUCAUGUAAUUAUAGCAACUUAUUACUGCUUUUCUGAUGUACAAAAUAUAUUCAUGUUUUCUGAUUACACAGGUCUUCCAGCAUAUUGUUUAUGACAAUAACCUUUUGAUCCAGAUAUUCGCCCUUCUCUUCUGCUCCACCUACUCAUGAUUUCAGUGAAGAGAACAACCCUAAAGGUAAUUGGGCUAAGAAGAUCACCAAUAUUUUGGCCCUGGACCUCCAAGAUCAUCAAAGAUCCAAGGUAUGAAGGGAUCUUUUCUACAACACCCUAUAUCUUUGAUAAGUCACCCAAUCUCCUGAGCAGGGAGAUUGCUGAGGGCAAAUGCACCUUGUGCCAAAACAGGGUCUCCAAGAGAAAAAAAAUCUCCCAUACUUUCACUGAAAGCAACUUGGUCAAGCAAGGCCGUGACCCAUCUGGAAGGCCGACACUGACAGAGGAACAGAGAGGCUCUACGCAUGGUUAGAAAGUAAUGGCCUGACCUUCAUAGAUAACAAGAGGUUCAUAUUAAUUAACGCAGGUCUCACUUUAACUUGGUCUUAAACACCCAGCAGAAAAUAAUAACCAGAAGAGGUAUAAAACAGUGCCAUAGUAAUAAAUGUAGGUAUAAAAAAAUACUCACCCCUUUUGGGUGUUUCUGGCUGUACUGUAUGGGAAUGAUUACAACUCUAGACUAUUCCAUGUGUAAAGAAAGGCAGGGUAUGUGGACCUGCUGGACACUAAAAACAUACUGGGAAUCAUUAAAACAAUGACAGGAGGAGGUAGAACAGCUCACAGCCAAAACACGGAAAACACCUCCCCCAAUAUAAAAACAUUGAUCUGUACACACACACACACACACAAAAAAAAAAAACCCAAAAAACAAAAAAACAAAAGCUUCUGAGAUCCAUAAAAGGCUCCUACACCUCAUGAAUACCACCCUACUUAGUUUGCCAGGCAACCAAACUGAGUGCUGAAUGUCCCUGUCACCCCGAUUCCAGCCAUGUCCCCACACCAAUUCCCCUUAACUGCACUAUCCCUGCCCAGAAAAUAUCACAACAAUAUUAGAUCUCUUAGCAACCCAAUGAAAAUCCUCCACACAUGGCAAUUGGACCUGCAUAAAUUCAUCCGUCAUAAAUCAGUACAGCUCCACCCCAUAGGCUAAACUUAUUCAUAUUCCUGAGUCAGGCAUAGCCUGUCUCACUAAAGGUUUGUUUUAUAUCUGUGACUCCCAAACCUUUUGUUGUUUCAAAUCAACCCUCUCUUCCCUCUGUUAUGUAGGCUUCCUUAGCCCUCCCCUCACAAUUUAUGCAGAAGCCCAGUUAUUACACCAAGUCUUGCCCUCACAACAGCCACCUAUCCACUGUCUCAAUAAACAAGCUCUUCCCAUCCUUCCCUUUCUGAUAAGGGCCGAUAUUCUGGUAGGAAUUGGCACUGGGUGGCAGGAAUCUCAACAUCAACAUUUCUAUGACUCCUUAUCCCAAG